Long non-coding RNA from Mercenaria mercenaria, 1436 nucleotides. RefSeq lists it as uncharacterized. The transcript is spliced from 4 exons. Lineage: Eukaryota; Metazoa; Mollusca; Bivalvia; Venerida; Veneridae. The record is from RefSeq and is a predicted model, not a curated record.
UGCGGCAUGACGUAAUAUCGAGAAACGACGUUUAAAGUUGCGCCAAGUUUACGCGCGCAGCUUUUUUACACAUGUUUUAAUUAGCAAAAGUUUGACCGUUAAAGUACGACUGCUUGUUACAUGAUUGAUGACAGCCUACUACAGAAAGAAUAUUUAGACAUCAGACCUGUAAAAAAAUAGUGGUAUUACACCUGAGGCAAAAUAUUUCGUUGAAAAUCAGUUGUUUCCCCUUCGCUAUGUUUCCGGUUUCGGAUUUUAACAGUAAAACAGGGAAGCAUGUGAAGUUUACUUUUGUUUAACUACCUUUUGUUCAACGAUGAAGGGAUCUGAGACUUGUAAUACUGUUUACUGAUUUGAUGAUAUUCCUUGUUCCUUUGAUGGUUCAUUCCACUAUACAGCUGGUUUAUAUACCCUACAAUAGCCAGGGAAUUGGUCUGUUUACUUUAAGAUCCCAAGAAAAUGUAACAUAUUUUGGAUGUGCUUUGAGGAAUCAGGAAUGCAAGUGUUUCCUCUUGUUUAUGAAGCAACUCAGUUGGUUAAGGGACAGACAAUUUGUGAGCAUGGUACAUCACUACCUGUAUUGGUAUUCCGUUUUGACAAUGUUGCUAGCUAGAAUAGAAAUAACAUCUUGCUGUGGUACAGUCUGUGGAGACUUUUACUAGGAUAUCACAGAUCGAUUGAAUAUUCAACAAUGAUCACAGACCAUGCAAAGCUUGAAUCUGACUUGCACUUUUGAAUUUAGAAGAAUCUGUGGAGGAGGGUGAAUGCUGAGACCUUUAAUAAUACAUGAUAUUGCUGACACAGUGUGUCAGUCAUCAAAGAAAGGCCAUAACACCGCACAGUUGGUCAACAAUGAUUUAAAUCCUGUCACAUUCUACCAGUGGAGAAAUAUCUUAUCACAAUAUUUUAAACUUUUGAAGAAGAUAACCAAGUAUUACCACUUUAUCAUGUCUGCAGAAACACCUGGAUUGUUAGUGUUAAAAGUGACAGUCCAAUUAACUUACCAAAAUCUACCCCCCCUUGCCAAACGAAUAUUAUUGAUCGCGGCCGAUGAGGCCGCGAUCAUAUUGAAUAGGACAAGUAUUUGCACGCUGGGGAAAAUAUUUCAUGAUGGACCUGUCAAUUCUUUACUUAUGGGUGAAACAGGUCUCAUAAGCGUAAAUACGACUAGCUUCUACUGAUUAUAAAAACAUACCGUACGAUUUGUUGUGAAUUAACUGUUGUUGUACUUUUAGUAGUUCAACCGCCACCCUUGUUUAAGAGCAACAUUUAAAAAACACGUUUUUUUCAUCCUCAAGUAAUAAGUAAGUAGACUCGCCCAGUUUAAUCAAUCUAGACGCAUAAUCUAACUAUACGAGCGUCUAUUUCACCCGAUUUACAUUCGGAACAUUUUCACGCGUUUCGGGCUUUAUCGUAUGUUUAACAUGGGAUUUUUG